CACCGCCUGGGGAGUACGACCGCAAGGUUAAAACUCAAAUGAAUUGACGGGGACCCGCACAAGUAGUGGAGCAUGUGGUUUAAUUCGAAGAUACGCGCAGAACCUUACCAACACUUGACAUGUUCGUCGCGACUUUAAGAGAUUAAAGUUUUCGGCUCGGCCGGACGAAACACAGGUGCUGCAUGGCUGUCGUCAGCUCGUGUCGUGAGAUGUUGGGUUAAGUCCCGCAACGAGCGCAACCCUCACUUUUAGUUGCCAUCAUUAAGUUGGGCACUCUGAAAGAACUGCCAGUGAUAAGCUGGAGGAAGGUGGGGAUGACGUCAAGUCCUCAUGGCCCUUACGUGUUGGGCUACACACGUGCUACAAUGGUAUCUACAACAGGAAGCGAAACGGCGACGUUAAGCAAAUCCUUAAAAGAUACCUCAGUUCGGAUUGUACUCUGCAACUCGAGUACAUGAAGCUGGAAUUACUAGUAAUCGUGGAUCAGCGUGCCACGGUGAAUGCGUUCCCGGGUCUUGUACACACCGCCCGUCACACCAUGGGAGUUGGUUCUACCUUAAGGCAAGGUUUAAAACCCUUGACCACGGUAUAGUCAGCGACUGGGGUGAAGUCGUAACAAGGUAGCCGUAGGGGAACCUGCGGCUGGAUUACCUCCUUUCUAAGGAUGAAUAAAAAUUAUUUUUUAUUCUAAAUAAUAUACACGGUUAAUGUUGACCGUCCUCAUUUCUCUUCUUGAAUUAGUGUUUCUCUUGCAUGGGGGCCGGUAGCUCAGUUGGUUAGAGCACACCCUUGAUAAGGGUGGGGUCGAAAGUUCGAGUCUUUCUCAGCCCACCAUAGAUUAAGGGGGAUUAGCUCAGCUGGGAGAGCGCCUGAUUUGCAUUCAGGAGGUCAGCGGUUCGAUCCCGCUAUCCUCCACCAAACACAUAGCUAUAAAAAUUGUGAAUAAAAUAAUAAUUAAUAUCAAUAUCUAUAUCCGAACAUUAGUAAUGUUAUUAGCUAAUGUUCAAAUAAAAAUUUAAUUCAACACAGAAUUUUUUUCUG
Molecule: small RNA, 1041 nt
Filed under: uncultured Pelagibacterales bacterium
Lineage: Bacteria; Pseudomonadati; Pseudomonadota; Alphaproteobacteria; Candidatus Pelagibacterales
Description: bacterial SSU rRNA
Rfam family: Bacterial small subunit ribosomal RNA (bases 1-658)
Source: RNAcentral